RNAcentral lists this ribosomal RNA (524 nucleotides) under Hillenburgia nasturtii. RNAcentral's name for it is "eukaryotic LSU rRNA". The stretch from base 169 to 323 matches the Rfam family "5.8S ribosomal RNA". Lineage: Eukaryota; Endomyxa; Phytomyxea; Plasmodiophorida; Plasmodiophoridae. The record is from RNAcentral.
AGAAGGAGAAGUCGUAACAAGGUUUCCGUAGGUGAACCUGCGGAAGGAUCAUUAACACUGAUGUCGGCCUCGGCCGACGCACCCCCAAACAACUUGUGAAUUUCAUGACCGUUUGUCAUUUUUAACAAUCAAAAAUACAAACCUAACGAAAAACAAUAACCAAUAUACAACUCUUAGCAAUGGAUAUCUUGGUUCCCACAACGAUGAAGAACGCAGCGAAAUGCGAUACGUAAUGCGAAUUGCAGAAUUCAGUGAAUCAUCAAAUCUUUGAACGCAAGUUGCGCUUUCGAGAUAUCCUUGAAAGCAUGCCUCUUUGAGUAUCGGUUUCCAUGUUUGCAAUUCGUUUACGAAACUGCAAGUGAAUGAGUUUGCCAGAGUCAAAUCUGUCUGCCUCGAAAUGCAAUCGGCCGCAAGUCAAACUGCACUCGUACUUUUCGACACACAAGUCGAGCGCGGGCGGCCAACAAACCUUUACCAAUCAAGAUCUCAAAUGAGGUAAGACUACCCGCUGAACUUAAGCAUAU